GACGUAGGAGGCGAGCGUUGCCCGGAUUCAUUGGGCGUAAAGGGCUCGUAGGUGGCCAACUAAGUCAGACGUGAAAUCCCUCGGCUUAACCGGGGAACUGCGUCUGAUACUGGAUGGCUUGAGAUCGGGAGAGGGAUGCGGAAUUCCAGGUGUAGCGGUGAAAUGCGUAGAUAUCUGGAGGAACACCGGUGGCGAAGGCGGCAUCCUGGACCGACACUGACGCUGAGGAGCGAAAGCCAGGGGAGCAAACGGG
RNAcentral lists this ribosomal RNA (253 nucleotides) under uncultured bacterium. RNAcentral's name for it is "partial 16S ribosomal RNA". It matches the Rfam family "Bacterial small subunit ribosomal RNA", at positions 524 to 776 of the family's 1533-position model. The record is from RNAcentral.